RNAcentral lists this ribosomal RNA (494 nucleotides) under Diaporthe sp. Lc002. Its description in RNAcentral is "eukaryotic LSU rRNA". The stretch from base 176 to 329 matches the Rfam family "5.8S ribosomal RNA". Lineage: Eukaryota; Fungi; Ascomycota; Sordariomycetes; Diaporthales; Diaporthaceae. The record is from RNAcentral. RNAcentral also lists the same sequence under 1 other name.
CUGGAACGCGCCCCAGGCGCACCCAGAAACCCUUUGUGAACUUAUACCUUACUGUUGCCUCGGCGCAUGCCGGCCCCCCUGGGGGCCCCUCCUUCUGGAGGAGCAGGCACGCCGGCGGCCAACCUAACUCUUGUUUUUACACUGAAACUCUGAGAAUAAAACAUAAAUGAAUCAAAACUUUCAACAACGGAUCUCUUGGUUCUGGCAUCGAUGAAGAACGCAGCGAAAUGCGAUAAGUAAUGUGAAUUGCAGAAUUCAGUGAAUCAUCGAAUCUUUGAACGCACAUUGCGCCCUCUGGUAUUCCGGAGGGCAUGCCUGUUCGAGCGUCAUUUCAACCCUCAAGCCUGGCUUGGUGAUGGGGCACUGCUUCUUACCCGAGAAGCAGGCCCUGAAAUUCAGUGGCGAGCUCGCCAGGACCCCGAGCGCAGUAGUUAAACCCUCGCUCUGGAAGGCCCUGGCGGUGCCCUGCCGUUAAACCCCCAACUUCUGAAAAU